GUGCCAGCAGUCGCGGUAAGACAAGGGAGACGAGUGUUAUUCAUCUUUAACAGGUAUAUAGGGUACCUAGACGGUGUACAAAGGCUUAGAUAAGUACCUGUUACACUUGAGUUUGAUAUGUGAGAGGAAUAUGUCAGAAUUAUUGGUGGAAAGAUGAAAUUUGCUAAUACUAAUAGGACUGAUAACGGCGAAGGCAAACCUCUAUGUACAAACUGACGUUGAGGGACGAAGGCUCAGAGAGUGAAGAGGAUUAGAUACCCCCGUAGCCUGGGCAGACAAUGAUGAGUGCCAUAUAUAAAUGAAAGUGGAAGCACUCCACCUCAAGAGUAAUGUGGCAACGCAGGAACUGAAAUCAUUAGACCGUUUCUGAAACCAGUAGUGAAGUAUGUUAUUUAAUUCGAUGAUCCUCGAAUAACCUUACCACACAUGCGUUGCAUGGCUGUCUUCAGUUAAUGUCGUGAGAUUUGGUUAGGUCCAUUAAAUUAACGUAAACCC
RNAcentral lists this ribosomal RNA (495 nucleotides) under Lizonia sexangularis. RNAcentral describes it as "SSU rRNA". It matches the Rfam family "Bacterial small subunit ribosomal RNA", at positions 505 to 1105 of the family's 1533-position model. The record is from RNAcentral. Lineage: Eukaryota; Fungi; Ascomycota; Dothideomycetes; Pseudoperisporiaceae.